RNAcentral lists this transfer RNA (76 nucleotides) under Emeus crassus (eastern moa). Its description in RNAcentral is "tRNA-Val". The record is from RNAcentral. Lineage: Eukaryota; Metazoa; Chordata; Aves; Dinornithiformes; Emeidae.
UCAGAGCGUAGCUAUAAAUCCCAAAGCACUCAGCUUACACCUGAAAGAUGUYUUCUAAACACAAGACYGCCCUGAU